This is a non-coding RNA of Danio rerio (zebrafish), 71 nucleotides long. The record is from Rfam. Lineage: Eukaryota; Metazoa; Chordata; Actinopteri; Cypriniformes; Danionidae.
GCAUUGGUGGUUCAGUGGUAGAAUUCUCACCUGUCACGUGGGAAACCCAGGUUUGAUUCUCGGCUAAUGCA